This 31-nucleotide non-coding RNA is filed under the name Mus musculus (house mouse). Lineage: Eukaryota; Metazoa; Chordata; Mammalia; Rodentia; Muridae. The record is from RNAcentral.
UCACGCCACUUGUAAAAUACUGCAACUUCCU